GGUUUAAUUCGAUGAUACGCGAGGAACCUUACCCGGGCUUGAAUUGCAGAGGAAGAAUUUGGAGACAAUGACGCCCUUCGGGUCGUCUGUGAAGGUGCUGCAUGGUUGUCGUCAGCUCGUGCCGUGAGGUGUCGGCUUAAGUGCCAUAACGAGCGCAACCCCUCUCCUUAGUUGCCAUCAGGUCAAGCUGGGCACUCUGGGGACACUGCCACCGUAAGGUGUGA
This 224-nucleotide ribosomal RNA is filed under the name uncultured bacterium. Its description in RNAcentral is "partial 16S ribosomal RNA". It matches the Rfam family "Bacterial small subunit ribosomal RNA", at positions 943 to 1167 of the family's 1533-position model. The record is from RNAcentral.